CCGCGGUAAUACGUAGGACCCGAGCGUUGUCCGGAUUUACUGGGUAUAAAGGGUGCGUAGGCGGCCUUGUGCGUCAGAGGUGAAAUAUCCGGGCUUAACCCGGAGGGUGCCUUUGAUACGGCAGGGCUUGAGUGCGAGAGAGGAUGAUGGAAUUCCUGGUGUAGCGGUGAAAUGCGUAGAUAUCAGGAGGAACACCGGUGGCGAAGGCGGUCAUCUGGCUCGUAACUGACGCUGAGGCACGAAAGCGCGG
This 250-nucleotide ribosomal RNA is filed under the name uncultured bacterium. Its description in RNAcentral is "partial 16S ribosomal RNA". It matches the Rfam family "Bacterial small subunit ribosomal RNA", at positions 515 to 764 of the family's 1533-position model. The record is from RNAcentral.